RNAcentral lists this ribosomal RNA (496 nucleotides) under uncultured bacterium. RNAcentral's name for it is "partial 16S ribosomal RNA". It matches the Rfam family "Bacterial small subunit ribosomal RNA", at positions 28 to 507 of the family's 1533-position model. The record is from RNAcentral.
GACGAACGCUGGCGGCGUGCCUAAUACAUGCAAGUUGAGCGCUGAAGGUUGGUACUUGUACCGACUGGAUGAGCAGCGAACGGGUGAGUAACGCGUGGGGAAUCUGCCUUUGAGCGGGGACAACAUUUGGAAACGAAUGCUAAUACCGCAUAAAAACUUUAAACACAAGUUUUAAGUUUGAAAGAUGCAAUUGCAUCACUCAAAGAUGAUCCCGCGUUGUAUUAGCUAGUUGGUGAGGUAAAGGCUCACCAAGGCGAUGAUACAUAGCCGACCUGAGAGGGUGAUCGGCCACAUUGGGACUGAGACACGGCCCAAACUCCUACGGGAGGCAGCAGUAGGGAAUCUUCGGCAAUGGGCGAAAGUCUGACCGAGCAACGCCGCGUGAGUGAAGAAGGUUUUCGGAUCGUAAAACUCUGUUGGUAGAGAAGAACGUUGGUGAGAGUGGAAAGCUCAUCAAGUGACGGUAACUACCCAGAAAGGGACGGCUAACUACGUG